UACGGGGGGGCAAGCGUUGUUCGGAAUUACUGGGCGUAAAGGGCUUGUAGGCGGCCAACUAAGUCAGACGUGAAAUCCCUCGGCUUAACCGGGGAACUGCGUCUGAUACUGGAUGGCUUGAGUUCGGGAGAGGGAUGCGGAAUUCCAGGUGUAGCGGUGAAAUGCGUAGAUAUCUGGAGGAACACCGGUGGCGAAGGCGGCAUCCUGGACCGACACUGACGCUGAAAAGCGAAAGCCAGGGGAGCAAACGGG
This 252-nucleotide ribosomal RNA is filed under the name uncultured bacterium. RNAcentral describes it as "partial 16S ribosomal RNA". It matches the Rfam family "Bacterial small subunit ribosomal RNA", at positions 524 to 776 of the family's 1533-position model. The record is from RNAcentral.